UUCAAGAUUUUCUUGGUCCCGUCGAA
RNAcentral lists this non-coding RNA (26 nucleotides) under Mus musculus (house mouse). The record is from RNAcentral. Lineage: Eukaryota; Metazoa; Chordata; Mammalia; Rodentia; Muridae.